This 322-nucleotide long non-coding RNA is filed under the name Setaria viridis. Its description in RNAcentral is "long non-coding RNA (SVIR_LNC007477)". Lineage: Eukaryota; Viridiplantae; Streptophyta; Magnoliopsida; Poales; Poaceae. The record is from RNAcentral.
CAGUGGCAUCGAUAGUCCAGAAUACUUGGUUCUUUCUGGUUUUGCCUGCGGACAAACCUGGCAUUGAUCAACAAAAGAGUGCACAUUUUUCUUCACCUGGGACCAAACAAAGAUUGCUUUAACUCUUGUGUAUGUAACUGGAAACCAGAGUGAUCUCCCAAGGCACUAGCAUGAAGAGCUAAUAGAAUUUUAUGUUGUAAAGCUUCAUUACUGCCCAACCAAAUUCUUCCUUUGAAUCUGAUCACCCCAUUAGUUAAAGAAUAGCUGUCCUUAAUUGUACCCAGCACUAAUUCAACCAAAAAAGACUUUGACUGUUCUUCAC